UACGUAGGGUGCAAGCGUUAUCCGGAAUUAUUGGGCGUAAAGCGCGCGCAGGCGGUCCUUUAAGUCUGAUGUGAAAGCCCACGGCUCAACCGUGGAGGGUCAUUGGAAACUGGGGGACUUGAGUGCAGAAGAGGAAAGUGGAAUUCCAAGUGUAGCGGUGAAAUGCGUAGAGAUUUGGAGGAACACCAGUGGCGAAGGCGACUUUCUGGUCUGUAACUGACACUGAGGCGCGAAAGCGUGGGGAGCAAACAGG
Molecule: ribosomal RNA, 253 nt
Filed under: uncultured bacterium
Lineage: Bacteria
Description: partial 16S ribosomal RNA
Rfam family: Bacterial small subunit ribosomal RNA
Source: RNAcentral